RNAcentral lists this long non-coding RNA (287 nucleotides) under Phasianus colchicus (ring-necked pheasant). RNAcentral's name for it is "lncRNA (ENSPCLG00000004232.1)". The record is from RNAcentral. Lineage: Eukaryota; Metazoa; Chordata; Aves; Galliformes; Phasianidae.
GGUAAUGAUCAUUUCAGCAGUUAAACUGAAUCUGUAGCACCUGUGCAUCUUCUUGGGCAAAGCAGAAGUGGCUUCAGUUGUCAGGAAUUGAAUGUAUUUGACUUUCCUCCUCCUGAAGAAUGUGUAGCAUAAAAAACAAUGAACCAAAAAUGGGAUGUCACCCAAGAAAAAACAGAGAAGCAAAUAGAACCUGGAAAAAUGAGAACACAGGAAAACAAGACACAAUACAGAAGGUUUGGAUGGCAUUCUUAAAAAGUUUCUUGCUGCUUUUGAAAAAAGAAAUAUAG